GGGGCUUAAGGCAUGAAAACUAGAGGGACGCCUGGUGUGCUACUUGGGUGUGCGACUCGGUCAAGCUGCAUACCAACUCACACAUGAACUCGCAGAAGAAACCUACUUGGGUCUGCGGUUUUGUCAUCUAGCAGCAAGGGAUUUGAGCAAGAAAAAUGCUAAGUGUUGCUGAGGUGUGAGUUGGGUCUGCGAGAUGGAUCCAAGUGAGACCACGCCGCACAUAUACUCGCUGUACAUAUCUACUUGGUCCUGCGAGCUGGCACUUUACAUCCCAG
RNAcentral lists this long non-coding RNA (275 nucleotides) under Eutrema salsugineum. RNAcentral describes it as "long non-coding RNA (ESAL_LNC001506)". The record is from RNAcentral. Lineage: Eukaryota; Viridiplantae; Streptophyta; Magnoliopsida; Brassicales; Brassicaceae.